UGUUUGGUGUAACCGUAAAACUGCUGUCGUUUAAGAUGUAUCCGUUAGCUAGCUUAGUUGAGAUAUUUAGCACUGCCGUGUUGUUCUGACUGAACGGCCGCUUGUUUGUUUAUUAAUGACAAAUAUGAAGUCUUGUUGAAAGUGUGUCAGCUUGCAAGGGUGUGUGUGUGUGUGUGUGUGUGUGUGUGUCGCACAACAUGGCGGCAGCAGUGAAGUGUGUCAGCCCGCUGCUCCAUUGACCCACUUCUGUCUGUGAGGAUUAAUCUCACACAGGGAAACUGGGCAAAUCGAUAAACAAGAGCACACUGUUAUCCACUGCUCUGUCUAUUCUGAGCACAAAAAAUGUUGUGCCGGAAGUGACAAAGCCUCAUUGUGGAUGGAUAUUGGAACAAAAAAAAAAGAAAAGGAAAAAGUUUUGCACAGAAAAUAAGUCGGUCGGAAGAAACAGCGGCCUCUAUGGCGGAAGAGUGUUAUUACCACCGUGGGUCAAUAUGACGCGAGCGCAAGGGUCACAGAGUCCACCUCAGUGAGGUGAGGUGAUUUCACCGAGCUAGUAUACAUGGUAAUCGGGGGAGGGGGUGGGGUAUAAGCCGGAUUUACCCUGUGGGAUUAUCAGCCUCGAUUUUGUUGUCACACACAGAAAUCGCACGUCGUAAAAGACCCAUUCAGUGUCGCCGCAAAACCAAGAGAUCUCAGACUCAUGGGACAGCGACGAAUACAAUUACAAAUGCAAAUGAAUCACAUUCGUUAAUAUAACUUCACCGGCCAGCAUGCUCGGGUCCCUUGUACGAUGAGUUAGUUGCAAAGCUAUCGUGCGUGCUAACGGACAGAAAGAAAGGUCGUUAAUACCUCAAGCGCACUUGAAGAAUGGACAAUCCAAGGUUUUGUCUUUCCCCCAGCCACGAACGACUCCAAACUUGUCGUCUUUUCCUUUCAAAAGUGUUUCCGCCCGGCUACUUUCAUACAGAGGCCCGACGUUGUUCAUAUUUCUGCUUGAGCCUGGAUUGCGCCGAUGAAUCGUAGGUCUAUCGUUAGAGGAUCUUCACCCUAUAACCUGACUUGGAGAACACACGUUCACACACAGUCUGAUAUCGGAUUUAACCAAGAUUUUUAUUGGCAUCGUGUCGUACGGUGUGACGAGUAACAGUCGUAAACUUUCGCCAAGGUGAAUCCUUUGAACUUCAAAGUGUCGUAGCUAAUUUGCACAGAAGAGAGAGAAUCUCAAUUCAGGUGUCGGUUGAUGUCGCGUGCAGACGUCUUGGCUAUGAGACAUGCAUGUACAGUAUCGACUCUAGAAAAUGAGCUGUCGUGUCGCCACUUGCUAGCGUGAAUUGAGAAUGUGAAAGCAAACUUCAGACACGACACGUCUUGGCUGAGUUUCCACGUACUCCCGUCCAUGUUGAAUUACCGCACUUAUAUUCGAGGACAUGAAACUGUAGCUGCACAGAACCGUCUUGGACGCUUGUAUACGUUUCGGUAGCCUCGAGGAGCUCGUGUAACUGUCCAUCAGAGUGAGAAUCUUAAUCUUCGAUAGUCGGAGUUGUCGUUUCCAACAAAACGACUCCAGAUUCCAGUGAACAAGUCAUUUUCACCAGCCAGUAUUUCAGCACCGAUGAUAAUGCUACUGAUUUAUUUAGAACCUUUUCAAAAACCAUGGAUAUCCCCCCCCCCCACCCCACCCCACCCCACCCCACCCCAAAGUUAAUAACAAAAGCAGUACAACCUGAGACAAAUGUAAACCAAACCUUGAUCUUUAUUAAAUAUUAACGCCUUUCUAUAUGGCUGCGUGAUUAAGGAUCUGGGCUACUGAUUGGAAGGUUCCGAGUUCAAAUCCCAGCAUGCUCCUUGAGUGAGGAACUUAACCUUCAAGUACUUGGUUGUAUGCUCUUUGGAUCAAAGCAUCACUCAGACGAAAUCAAUAAAUGUAAACUUAACUACUGCUAGCUAGACAAAAUCGUUUUCAACAUUCCUGUGUCUUUUCCCGUUGAAACUCCAAAUGUUUUUUUGUUUUUUUUUCUCCAUUCAGCCUGACCACUCCUUAACAAAAACAAAAGGCCAUCUGUAAUGCUUUAAUUAUUUUACAUAAUUAUUCAAGCUUCACAUUUAUAAACCAGUUCUUGGUCAGGCACAUUUCUUUCUGAGAGGAUUGUGGAUAUUAUAGGUAUUACGACAUUAAGCAGACUGAUAGCAAAUAUGUUAAUAUAUAUAUAUAAAAAAAAUUUUUAUGUUGUUUUUAUUUUUGUCUUGUUCCAGUUUAAAUCGUUUAUUUUCAUCAAAUAUUUUACAGAGUUUUUUUUUAUGCGAGUUCUCUGGUUUGCAGGCGAUUUUAAAAUCUAUCUAGUUAGUUAUGAAUUUCGAGAGUUAAGAAACGCCCGAUGUUUCAGUAUGUAAUUAAACUAGGCAGUGUUUGGGAUUGCGAUGAUAAUUGUACAUCAGUUUUUUAUCUUUCUAGCUAUCUAGCUAGUGCAGGAGUUAAGAAACGCCCGAAGUCUCAGUAUGUAAUUAAACUAGGCAGUGUUUGUGCUUGGGACCGAGCUGAUAAUUGUAAUAAAUAUGUUCUUAUAGCCGCAUUGUUCUGAGCGGUUUGGUCUUGAGCAGUGUUCCGUGUGUAAUUGGACUAAACCAUUCUGCUCCUUCUUCUCUUUUACAAACCCACGCUUAAGGACAAAGGGCUCGACUUAAAGAUACGGGCCCCUGUGUUAAUGUUUUAUGAGCGAGUACAGCGUGGACGGAUACCGACUCGUCCUCGGGCCGCCUGGGGCUCGGCUGCCGCUCUUCCUCCCUCGUCUCGCCACCGUCAUGGUUGGUCCCGGUGAACAGAUUAGACAUUUUAAGGUGUGGGGUGCUCUGAGCAAUUCAUGUUGUGAUCGAAAUGAACAUUUUCAGAGCAUCGCGGUUUUUCCCGUUCUCGGAGGACGACCCGCGAGACGAUCAGUUACACAAACCGCCAGAGCUGUUGAGAGUAUCCUAGUAGAAAUAUCUCGCAUAUACGAAACAAAGUGCCUCACUUACAAACGAUGCGUACGGUCGAUUUGUAAAGUCGUUAUUUGUACCCGUGUCCCACGUUUCACUCUCGACGUAUACCGUCACACUGUCGCACUAGCGAUGCCCGUGUAGCGACCCUUCCUAACCAACGCUUCCCGUGCUCGUAGUUAGAUUCUUGUUUAUAUAUGAAAAAAAUUGUGUGCAGAUUCUCUCUCUACAAGCCUAAAUAGGUUUAGAACAGAAAUAAAUACCUUGACACAUUAUUAAAGUAAAAGCUUAUGUAUAGAUAAUAACUAGAAAGAAACACCUGAAAUGAGUAAGAAGUAAAACACGACCAUUAAAAAUAUAUUAGUGACGCUCGUUUUUUUUUCUUUCUUUUUAGCUUGCGGCGUCUAAUUAAACACCAACACACAUCCAGAGCUUUAAUUCAGUCCUGUUACUUAUACUGAAGCGCGAUUUCAUCCCCGUGUGCAUAUUUAAUGAGGAGCAGUGGUGUCAUUCCACCGUCUUACUUUACCAGCUCCGGUGCUACUACAGGUUUAAUCAGUCCCAUGCUAAAAUAUGUAGAGGACGAUCUUAAGGAUUACAUGCCAUCGCUUUGUUUGAUCAAACUUAGUCUGAACUGGAGAGCUGAAUGAGUUACUCCCACAGUCACGUCCAAUUAUGAGGCAUUAUAUAGUCUCUUUAGUAUGAUAUGUACUGUUUGUUUGUUUAUUUCGAAGAGGAAUCUGGAGGGACAAGGUCAGUUAGCGCUGCUUAGCAGGUGAAGCUGUAACAAGGAAACUGGGGUUUAAAAAAACAAAAACAUUUUAAUUAUGCAAAGACAAAACAUCGAGGCAGAAAACACGAGCGUUCGUGGACUACAAAGCGAGCUUGAAUUACAUUCAUCUUUAAGGCUAGUAAAAAAUUUUUUACAUAUCACGACACGUAACCCGAAAAAAUGUAUCAAACCUCACAGUUUUACAUCCAUUCCUGUUAAAUAAUCUUUUCUGCCAGCUUGUAAAACCAUCGUGCUAAUCAUUCAGAGCUGCUAGUGUUCACCAAUCUGUAUUAUGAGCCGUGAAAAAAGGCGUGGGGAGGAUUAAAAAAGGACUUUCAGACAGGCCAAGCUGAAGUUUAUUUAUUCACUUUUAUUUUUCGAUAAUAUUUUUUUUUCUAGCGUGCUAACUUUAUUGAACAUGUCCAAACAAAGCUAGAAAGCUACAUUUAGGAACCCAAUCAAGGUUUGCUGUAUAAUGUUCGAUUUGACUAGCUAAUAAAAUUGACUAGCUAGCAGUAGAGAAUAACCCAAACAAAGGUUAGCUAGAUGAUGUUUAGAAAUUACGUGUCCAAAAAAAAUGCAACGUUAGACGACCCGACAUUUGUAGCCAAAACAAGCUAGCUAGAUAACAGAGACUAUGCCGGACCAAGCUAGCUAAGCAAAUGUUGAAGAAUAGGCCCAAACAUAACAUUAAAAUAAUCCUCAAGCGUAGAUGGAUAGAUAUAUUUUUAAACAUAUAUUUACAUAUUUAAAAGUGUCCCAGAAUAAAGCUGUUUAUUUAAUGAGCUAACGUUAGAAAAUGUCCCAAAGUUAGCGAGCUAAAAUGAGAAAAAUAUCACCACCGUUGUAUUUGGAAAAUAUUCCAAAAUAAAGCUAGCUCUCUAGAGAAUAUUAGAGAAUACCUCAAACAAAGCUAGCCAGCUAACAUUAGAAAACAUCCCCAAGCACAGCUAGCUGCCCUUUAUAUUAGUUAAAAAAACAAGUCCUUAAAAUCAAGCUAGUUUACUAGCUAACAUUAGAAAUUAUUUCCAAGAUUAGCUAGCUAGUCAACUAUUUAAAAUAUUCCCAGCUAGCUAACAUUAAAAUAUGCUGACAGAGCUAGCUAGAUGAUGUCAGAGACUAUGGCCAGG
Molecule: long non-coding RNA, 4875 nt
Organism: Ictalurus punctatus (channel catfish)
Lineage: Eukaryota; Metazoa; Chordata; Actinopteri; Siluriformes; Ictaluridae
Source: Ensembl